UAUAAGAAUGGUGACUGUGAACCAGGCAAAGAGAGAUGCUACACAUUGUGUGAUUCCAGUUUGUGUAUGAAGAGAAGGCAGCAUAGAUAGGGUGCAAUAGCAGAUGACCCUGAUACUUAGUACCCCAUUAUGUUUUAUGGAUAAUCACUUCUGCCAGAUGCUGUACAAAGGCCAACAGGUAUUAAUUGUUCUCAAUAGACCUGAGUUCAACAGCUUGUGCUGUCAGGGUAACCAAGUUUGCAGUAGUGUUUGAGCCACCUCCUAUAGAGAAUCGAUGCUGAAAAUGAUUCAGAGAUCAUUCUAAUAAUAAUAAUGCAUGGCUUUAUUGAUGGUUGUGAUGCUUUCACUGUCAUCCUUGCUGGGAUGCCAAUGCUGCAGGUAUGAUGACAAUCGUCUUUGCUACCCUGCCAGGUCUAAAUGUGAUGUGGCUCCAGGACAGGUAUGACAGCGCCCUCUUCUUUGCAGGUACAGAAGGACAUGACCUAUACGUCGCUCCAGCAGAUGAGUCUCUGGCAAAGCAGCUUAACCAGAAGAUGUACCCAUGAAACCAGGACAUAGUAGGAUGUCUAAAAGCUUGAUUCUCAAAGGUGUGGUGAUGCCCCGUUACCCUUAAAAAUGGUUGAAGCUGGAGCAAAGCUUUCCCAAUGAAACUCGAAACCAGGAGAGACUGCCUUCUUCAGGAGGUCUAAUAAAAACUUCAAUUCAGGCUCCCAGGUCAUGCCUGACUUUUGAAAGUGCAACAGAAGCUGUAAGUCACCAGGGUACUCUCAGUACUCUCGGAAAAUAUCCUGUUGGGUCAUCACCAAGCAGGCAGAGCUGGGUUGCUGCCGAGCUGUUCACGGCCUUGCCUGCACCCAGGGAGCACCCAAAACCGAAAGUGCAAAGGGUUUACUGGGCAUGCACGUGUCUGGGGGAGCCCCGCGACACACUGCCACGCCAAAUGGCUGUGUAACAGAUAUGCCUUCACUGAGCACAUUGCCACAGUCCCUACAGAGGAGGUUUACUUCCCAUAAGAGCUUCUUUUGUGCAUCUCAGUGAACUUACGUGGUUUGAAAGACUGUUGCCAAUGUAGCAGAUCAUUUGGACAACACUGCAGGGAUUGAUACCAUUUGUCAUUGGGCUUGGACUUGGGGUACCAAUGGGCUCAGCAUCAGAGCCUCAGAGAAAGAGGUAAAUAGCAAGGGAAAAUCUGUCCUCUUGCUCCAUGUUUCUGACACUUUUGUUAAACAAAGUCUCUGUAAUGACAGGACCGUGGCAUUUUUCCACUUGGUUCAGUACGCAGCGUGACGUACUUCAGAAUUAUUCGCUGGAGAUUCCAUUAUGGAAAAGGAGAGAAUAUUUAUCACUGAUACUGUUUAGCUCCUAAAGCACUGGCUCGAAAUGGAGCUGAGAUGUCAGGGUAAAUUCAGCACUCAAAUGUUACAGGCGUUAGAGUGCAGGAUUCAAAAAUGAUCAUUUUAUUGAUGUGGUAUACUUUUGACUUGCCAAAGCACUGCACAAAGAUAUUUCGAAAUCCAGAGCAUCAGCCAUCAAGGAGAGGAACUGACGUGGUAAGGAAAAUAAAAUAUAACCCCUGAAGAGUCCCUGUCUGAGACUGGCAAAAUCUUCAGCCCUGACUGCGCAGCAAUAGGCUCCAGCACAACUCUCUGCCUGUCGUGUGAAAUCAGUUGUGCAAAGCCAGAUGACACCACCUGAAGCCAACAAC
Cairina moschata (Muscovy duck) is the source of this 1705-nucleotide long non-coding RNA. NCBI's taxonomy places the organism in Eukaryota, Metazoa, Chordata, Aves, Anseriformes, Anatidae. The record is from Ensembl.